Molecule: ribosomal RNA, 464 nt
Filed under: uncultured bacterium
Lineage: Bacteria
Description: partial 16S ribosomal RNA
Rfam family: Bacterial small subunit ribosomal RNA
Source: RNAcentral
AACGAACGCUGGCGGCAUGCUUAACACAUGCAAGUUGAACGCAGGAUAGGACUUCGGUUCUAUUGCUGAGUAGCAAACGGGUGAGUAACGCGUGGGAAUCUACCUUUUUGUGGGGGAUAACUGAGGGAAACUUCAGCUAAUACCGCAUAAGCUCUACGGAGGAAAGGCUUCGGCCGCAAGAAGAGGAGCCCGCGUCAGAUUAGGUAGUUGGUAGGGUAAAAGCCUACCAAGCCAAUGAGCUGUAGCUGGUCUGAGAGGAUGAUCAGCCACACCGGGACCGAGACACGGCCCAGACUCCUACGGGAGGCAGCAGUGGGGAAUAUUGGACAAUGGGGGAAACCCUGAUCCAGCAAUGCCGCGUGAAUGAAGAAGGCCUUAGGGUUGUAAAGUUCUUUCACCUGUGAAGAUUAUGACGGUAGCAGGAGAAGAAGCCCCGGCUAACUCCGUGCCAGCCGCCGCAGUAA